GAUGAAGAACGCAGCGAAAUGCGAUAAGUAAUGUGAAUUGCAGAAUUCAGUGAAUCAUCGAGUCUUUGAACGCACAUUGCGCCCCCUGGUAUUCCGGGGGGCAUGCCUGUCCGAGCGUCAUUGCUGCCCUCAAGCACGGCUUGUGUGUUGGGCCGUCGUCCCCCUCCUAGGGGACGGGCCCGAAAGGCAGCGGCGGCACCGCGUCCGGUCCUCGAGCGUAUGGGGCUUCGUCACCCGCUCCGUAGGCCCGGCCGGCGCUUGCCGACGACCAUCAAUCUCUUUCUCCAGGUUGACCUCGGAUCAGGUAGGGAUACCCGCUGAACUUAAGCAUAUCAUAGCGGAGGA
Molecule: unclassified non-coding RNA, 345 nt
Filed under: soil metagenome
Description: partial contains 5.8S ribosomal RNA, internal transcribed spacer 2, and large subunit ribosomal RNA
Rfam family: 5.8S ribosomal RNA (bases 1-120)
Source: RNAcentral